Mytilus californianus (California mussel) is the source of this 927-nucleotide long non-coding RNA. RefSeq lists it as uncharacterized. The record is from RefSeq and is a predicted model, not a curated record. Lineage: Eukaryota; Metazoa; Mollusca; Bivalvia; Mytilida; Mytilidae. The transcript has 2 exons.
GUCAACAAUGUAUUAGUUUGUGAUUAGGUCUAGUUCAUGGUGAACCACUAGCGGUAGGUCAAUGAUAUUUGGUAUGCAGUUGUAUUAGCAUUGGCACAUCUCAUUACCAUGGAGAUUAUUUGGCCCCGCCCCCUCAGUCAAGGUCUGUUGACUUUGAAACUUUGCUAAGUUUACAUGUAUUAGUUUGUGAUUAGGUCAGUUUAUGGGAAACCACUAGUGGUAGGUCAAUGAAAUUUGGUAUGCAGUUGUAUUAGCAUUGGCACAUCUCAUUACCAUGGAGCUUAUUUGGCCCUGCCCCCUCAGUCAAGGUCUAUUGACUUUGAAACUUUGCUUAGUUUACAUGUAUUAGUUUGUGAUUAGGUCAGUUUAUGGGGAACCACUAGUGAUAGGUCAAUGAUAUUUGGUAUGCAGUUGUAUAAGCAUUGGCAUAUCUCAUUUCCAUGGAGAUUAUUUGGCCCCGCCCCCUCAUUCAUGGUCUAUUGACUGAAACUUUUGCUUAGUUUUCAUGUAUUAGUUUGUGAUUAGGUCAGUUUAAGAUGAACCACUAAUGUAAAGUCAAUGAUAUUUGGUAUGCAAAUGUAUUGGCAUUUGCAAGUUUUAUUUCCAUGGAGAUUAUAUAACCCCAACCCCUAAUUAUGGUUCAUUGAUUUUGAAACUUUUACAUAGUUUACAAGUUAAUGUUUGUGUUUAGGUUUGUUUAAAGGGAACGACUUAUGAAAAGUCAAUGGUCAUUUGGUUUGCAGUUGUAUUAGCAUUGGCAAAUCUCAUUUCCAUGGCGAUUGUUUAGCCCUGUACCUUCAGUCAUGGUUCAUUGACUUUAAAUAUUUGCAUAACUUACAUGUUAAAGUAUUGCUAUUUUAAUUUCAACAUUUGCAUUAUCAAAAUAACAAAUAGGCAAGACAUAUCUCUGUGUUAACAGUUUUAUAG